GCUUGUCUCAAAGAUUAAGCCAUGCAUGUUCAAGUAUAGCAAGUGUACAGUGAAACUGCGAAUGGCUCAUUAAAUCAGUUAUAGUUUAUUUGAUGGUCUUACUACUUGGAUAACCGUAGUAAUUCUAGAGCUAAUACAUGCACAAAUUCCCGUCAGGGAUGUAUUUAUUAGAUUGAAACCAAUGCGGGGUAACCCGGUGUUUGGUGAUUCAUAAUAACUUUCGGAUCGCAUUUGCGAUGCAUCAUUCAAGUUUCUGCCCUAUCAGCUUUGGAUGGUAGGGUAUUGGCCUACCAUGGCAUUAACGGGUAACGGAGGAUUUGGGUUCGAUUCCGGAGAGGGAGCCUGAGAAAUGGCUACCACAUCCAAGGAAGGCAGCAGG
This 379-nucleotide ribosomal RNA is filed under the name uncultured Chrysophyceae. RNAcentral describes it as "partial small subunit ribosomal RNA". It matches the Rfam family "Eukaryotic small subunit ribosomal RNA", at positions 30 to 432 of the family's 1831-position model. Lineage: Eukaryota; Chrysophyceae. The record is from RNAcentral.